This 532-nucleotide ribosomal RNA is filed under the name uncultured bacterium. Its description in RNAcentral is "bacterial SSU rRNA". It matches the Rfam family "Bacterial small subunit ribosomal RNA", at positions 774 to 1304 of the family's 1533-position model. The record is from RNAcentral.
AGUAAAUAGAUACCCAGGUAGUCCACGCCGUAAACGAUGUCGACUUGGAGGUUGUGCCCUUGAGGCGUGGCUUCCGGAGCUAAACGCGUUAAGUCGACCGCCUGGGGAGUACGGCCGCAAGGUUAAAACUCAAAUGAAUUGACGGGGGCCCGCACAAGCGGUGGAGCAUGUGGUUUAAUUCGAUGCAACGCGAAGAACCUUACCUACUCUUGACAUCCAGAGAACUUUCCAGAGAUGGAUUGGUGCCUUCGGGAACUCUGAGACAGGUGCUGCAUGGCUGUCGUCAGCUCGUGUUGUGAAAUGUUGGGUUAAGUCCCGCAACGAGCGCAACCCUUAUCUUUUGUUGCCAGCGGUUAGGCCGGGAACUCAAAGGAGACUGCCAGUGAUAAACUGGAGGAAGGUGGGGAUGACGUCAAGUCAUCAUGGCCCUUACGAGUAGGGCUACACACGUGCUACAAUGGCGCAUACAAAGAGAAGCGACCUCGCGAGAGCAAGCGGACCUCAUAAAGUGCGUCGUAGUCCGGAUUGGAGU